RNAcentral lists this ribosomal RNA (949 nucleotides) under uncultured Burkholderia sp. Its description in RNAcentral is "bacterial SSU rRNA". It matches the Rfam family "Bacterial small subunit ribosomal RNA", at positions 8 to 951 of the family's 1533-position model. Lineage: Bacteria; Pseudomonadati; Pseudomonadota; Betaproteobacteria; Burkholderiales; Burkholderiaceae. The record is from RNAcentral.
AGGGUUUGAUUAUGGCUCAGAUUGAACGCUGGCGGCAGGCCUAACACAUGCAAGUCGAACGGCAGCACGGGGGCAACCCUGGUGGCGAGUGGCGAACGGGUGAGUAAUACAUCGGAACGUGUCCUGUAGUGGGGGAUAGCCCGGCGAAAGCCGGAUUAAUACCGCAUACGCUCUGCGGAGGAAAGCGGGGGCUCCUUCGGGACCUCGCGCUACAGGGGCGGCCGAUGGCAGAUUAGCUAGUUGGUGGGGUAAAGGCCUACCAAGGCGACGAUCUGUAGCUGGUCUGAGAGGACGACCAGCCACACUGGGACUGAGACACGGCCCAGACUCCUACGGGAGGCAGCAGUGGGGAAUUUUGGACAAUGGGCGCAAGCCUGAUCCAGCAAUGCCGCGUGUGUGAAGAAGGCCUUCGGGUUGUAAAGCACUUUUGUCCAGAAAGAAAACCUCAGCCCUAAUACGGCGGGGGGAUGACGGUACCGGAAGAAUAAGCACCGGCUAACUACGUGCCAGCAGCCGCGGUAAUACGUAGGGUGCAAGCGUUAAUCGGAAUUACUGGGCGUAAAGCGUGCGCAGGCGGUCCGCUAAGACAGAUGUGAAAUCCCCGGGCUUAACCUGGGAACUGCAUUUGUGACUGGCGGGCUAGAGUAUGGCAGAGGGGGGUAGAAUUCCACAUGUAGCAGUGAAAUGCGUAGAGAUGUGGAGGAAUACCGAUGGCGAAGGCAGCCCCCUGGGCCAAUACUGACGCUCAUGCACGAAAGCGUGGGGAACAAACAGGAUUAGAUACCCUGGUAGUCCACGCCCUAAACGAUGUCAACUAGUUGUCGGGCCUUCAUUGGCUUGGUAACGUAGCUAACGCGUGAAGUUGACCGCCUGGGGAGUACGGUCGCAAGAUUAAAACUCAAAGGAAUUGACGGGGACCCGCACAAGCGGUGGAUGAUGUGGAUUAAUU